Gorilla gorilla gorilla (western lowland gorilla) is the source of this 679-nucleotide long non-coding RNA. RefSeq lists it as uncharacterized. The record is from RefSeq and is a predicted model, not a curated record. The transcript has 3 exons. Lineage: Eukaryota; Metazoa; Chordata; Mammalia; Primates; Hominidae.
GCCUGCGGGUGCUGCCCGCUCAGUCUCCAGGUGGGAAGUGCGCUCGCCCCGGACCGAGGGGAAAGCCCAGCAUCCCCGGGAUGGUACAGAGAGGCGGCCACCCGCGAGUGGGCGUGACCCAUCGGUUCCCUUGCGCAGCAUCUUUGGAGAAUUAAGCUUUCGCCUCCUCUCUUGCCAGCCGUUGUUUCUAAUCUUGUCUUUUUUAAGGGAGGAAAGCAGGAGAAUUCAUGACACUUUGUAUCACAGGAAAUCAAGUUGGUGGACAGAGGGUUUGCUGACCUCUCCCGUCCCUCCUCAGGGUCCCUAGGAGAAUUUUUGAAGAAGUAAUCGGCAGCAAGGAGAUGGGGGCAAUAGAGAGUCUCAGACUCGCAGGGACCCAUGUUCGUCCCCAGCGCCACUACUUUCAAACCGUUAUCCCUCAGAGCUGUUUCCUCACCUCCACAACAACUCUCCCGGGUUCGAUGACACUAUAUAUCCCACCAGUUCAUCUUGGUACAGGCCAAAAGGAUGGUAGCUGAGGCGAUGACAUCUCUGAAGAGAAAGGGCCUGCAGCCAGGAACCCAGGGAAUCUCUACCAUGCCUACUACUGGUCAACAAGGAAGAGCCCCACAUCAGGCAGUUAGACAUCUGGGAGGAAAAGCCAAGAGACAACUGGAAGUCUCUGUUCACCACCACCGCC